This 253-nucleotide ribosomal RNA is filed under the name uncultured bacterium. RNAcentral's name for it is "partial 16S ribosomal RNA". It matches the Rfam family "Bacterial small subunit ribosomal RNA", at positions 524 to 776 of the family's 1533-position model. The record is from RNAcentral.
GACGUAGGGCGCGAGCGUUGUCCGGAUUUAUUGGGCGUAAAGAGCGUGUAGGCGGUUUGGUAGGUCCGCUGUGAAAACUCGAGGCUCAACCUCGAGACGCCGGUGGAAACCAUCAGACUAGAGUCCGGAGGAGGAGAGUGGAAUUCCUGGUGUAGCGGUGAAAUGCGCAGAUAUCAGGAAGAACACCCGUGGCUAAGGCGGCUCUCUAGUACGGUACUGACGCUGAGACGCGAAAGCGUGGGGAGCGAACAGG